AAAUUGAAGAGUUUGAUCAUGGCUCAGAUUGAACGCUGGCGGCAGGCCUAACACAUGCAAGUCGAACGGUAACAGGAAGCAGCUUGCUGCUUCGCUGACGAGUGGCGGACGGGUGAGUAAUGUCUGGGAAACUGCCUGAUGGAGGGGGAUAACUACUGGAAACGGUGGCUAAUACCGCAUAACGUCGCAAGACCAAAGAGGGGGACCUUCGGGCCUCUUGCCAUCAGAUGUGCCCAGAUGGGAUUAGCUUGUUGGUGAGGUAACGGCUCACCAAGGCGACGAUCCCUAGCUGGUCUGAGAGGAUGACCAGCCACACUGGAACUGAGACACGGUCCAGACUCCUACGGGAGGC
RNAcentral lists this ribosomal RNA (352 nucleotides) under Salmonella enterica. Its description in RNAcentral is "bacterial SSU rRNA". It matches the Rfam family "Bacterial small subunit ribosomal RNA", at positions 1 to 349 of the family's 1533-position model. RNAcentral also lists the same sequence under 1 other name. Lineage: Bacteria; Pseudomonadati; Pseudomonadota; Gammaproteobacteria; Enterobacterales; Enterobacteriaceae. The record is from RNAcentral.